This 450-nucleotide ribosomal RNA is filed under the name Triticum aestivum (bread wheat). Its description in RNAcentral is "partial small subunit ribosomal RNA". The record is from RNAcentral. Lineage: Eukaryota; Viridiplantae; Streptophyta; Magnoliopsida; Poales; Poaceae.
AUGGCCCUUCACAAGCUCAGGAUCACCACCUGGGCCUUUAGCCUACUCGUUGAUGUCAACGUCUACAUAGAACCCAUCAGAAGGGGUUGCAGCGUCUUCUGUAAAAAUGUAAAUUAUAGCAACAUGAGUACAAAGGUACUCAGCAAGACUUACAUCAGAUCCUACAUACAUGCAUAUUAUCAAGAAGGGUUGGUGGAGUUAUUGCAGCAAGCCAGCUUUGACUCUUGGCUAGACUAUCCUACGAUACUUCAACUUGAAAUGGUUUUGCGCACACGAGUCCACUACCCACCACUUCAAUACACCACCGAGGAUCCGCCUCCGUCUUCCUACGGAAGAGCCAUCCUCGGCACUCACACUUAUCUUGAGGCUUUUAGUAGUUUCCAUUUACUUGUCUAUGAACUGUAUAGGCAACCAAGUAGUCCUUUACCGCGGACGCGGCUAUUCGAAUAG